AAAACUUCAUAUAAAGACAUCAAUUUACCACUUUAAGUAAAAGGCAUUUGCAGUUGGCUACAGAUCACAGGCCAAACCUGUGCGAUUACUGGUCCGUACUUUACUCUCAACUCAUCGCGUGAACUGACUCGCUGGGCUGUAAUACUAAAUAUAUAACAAUGCUGUAACAUGUUCUCUAUAUCAUUGUUAACACAUCACUAUGCCCUUGUACUGCUGGGCCCAUAUAUACACAUGUAUACGGGUUGCACAUAUAAGCGUAUACUGGUCCUAUACACUUAUGGGUUCAGUACAUUUACUCUAUACAUCACAUGAAGAAAUUGCCAAUGGCUUUUAUAUACACAAUGCCUUUUUAUGGCAAUUACAAGCUAGUGGCUCCCCGCAAGAGGCCCUUUCACGCUUCAAACAUAUGACUACUACCCAAAACACUGUCUACAUCCGACCUAUCGCGCGGCUGCCAACGAUUACGUCCUAAUUUCCUCAAUUAAAAACAAGCUUUCACUACAUUGACGUUUUAAAUUCAUUGGGCUGGCUAAAAAGAAUUUUCUCACCAACAUAAACACACUUUCAUACAGCCGUUUACGUUUUGGGUUGGUACUAGUUUAGUAAUACAUGAAUGAGACCUUAAGGUUUAAUCAGUUUUGUACAGUAAAAGUACAUAACAAGUUGCGUAAAACCAGGCUGUAAGGUUUGAUCUACUCACGUACGUCGAAAUUGACACGAAUUGCAGUUGGAAAGUCCUUAUUGUCUUUGAAGUAAAUACCUUUAUACAUACUCCGAUUCGUAUCUCUGUCGGAUGGAAAUCUCUACUCUCAUUUACAAACUUUCCAAAACAUUGAAUGAUAAAGGGUGUUUUAGUGGUGGAUUCUAAAAUUAAGAGUGGAGACAGUUACACAAAUGUGAUAUGGAAAAUGCCUAGUUUCACAACUUUUUGUUGAAUUUUUUUUCAAAAUGUGUCCAUGGACUUUCUAAGUGUUUGGUUCCUCGAGAAGGGAUUCAACAUAAAUGAGACUAUUGUGAGAGUAUAGAUCCAACAGAUCUCUCAGUGUUCUUUUAGAAGAUACAUUUUGUUCUCUGUUACUGAUCAGAUUUACUAGUCUUCAUGCUGUUGAAAUGUGGAUUUAAUCAUCUUGUUCCCGGAUUUCAUCGUACAUAGGAUUUAGCUGUGAGACUGUAGUCCCUGUGGCAUAAUAAAGAUUUCUAGCAUCCAAGGAUUCAGUAGUGAUGGCCUGAGACUGACCCUGCCCUGUCUGAUCAUGACUACUGGCCACUACUGCAGCUGUGGUGUUUGUACUGGAUUCAUUGAUGGCUUUUGACUGACCCUGCCCUGUCUGAUCAUGACUACUGGCCAUCACAGUAGCUGUGGUGUUUAUGUUGGACUCAGUAAUGGAUCGAGACUGACUCUGCCCUGUCUGGUUAUGUUGGUCACUAUUUUCAUACUGGUGAUCAUCAUGGUCACUGGUAUUAGUAGUAUGCUGGUCGCUAUUUACAUACUGGGGAUCAUGGUCACUGGGAUUAUGUUGGUCCAUAUCUUCAUACAGGUAAUCAUCAUGGUCACUGGUCACUACAGUGGUUGUCACAGUGGUUGUUGUGUUGGCUUCAGUGAUGGUCUGAGACUGACCCUGCCCUGUCUGAUCA
Long non-coding RNA from Branchiostoma belcheri (Belcher's lancelet), 1635 nucleotides. RefSeq lists it as uncharacterized. The record is from RefSeq and is a predicted model, not a curated record. NCBI's taxonomy places the organism in Eukaryota, Metazoa, Chordata, Leptocardii, Amphioxiformes, Branchiostomatidae. The transcript is spliced from 3 exons.